RNAcentral lists this ribosomal RNA (253 nucleotides) under uncultured bacterium. RNAcentral's name for it is "partial 16S ribosomal RNA". It matches the Rfam family "Bacterial small subunit ribosomal RNA", at positions 524 to 776 of the family's 1533-position model. The record is from RNAcentral.
UACGUAGGGCGCAAGCGUUGUCCGGAAUUAUUGGGCGUAAAGAGCUCGUAGGCGGUUUGUCGCGUCUGUCGUGAAAGCUUGGGGCUUAACCCCAAGUCUGCGGUGGAUACGGGCAGACUAGAGGCAGGUAGGGGAGAACGGAAUUCCCGGUGUAGCGGUGAAAUGCGCAGAUAUCGGGAGGGACACCGGUGGCGAAGGCGGUUCUCUGGGCCUGUACUGACGCUGAGGAGCGAAAGCGUGGGGAGCGAACAGG